CGUAGGGUGCGAGCGUUAAUCGGAAUUACUGGGCGUAAAGCGUGCGCAGGCGGUUUUGUAAGCCAGAUGUGAAAUCCCCGGGCUUAACCUGGGAAUGGCAUUUGGGACUGCAAGGCUUGAGUGCGGCAGAGGAGACUGGAAUUCCUGGUGUAGCAGUGAAAUGCGUAGAUAUCAGGAGGAAUACCGAUGGCGAAGGCAGGUCUCUGGGCUAACACUGACGCACAUGCACGAAAGCGUGGGGAGCAAACAGGAUUAGAUACCCUGGUAGUCCACGCCCUAAACGAUGUCGACUGGUUGUUGGGGGUUUGACACUCUCAGUAACGAAGCUAACGCGUGAAGUCGACCGCCUGGGGAGUACGGCCGCAAGGUUA
This 371-nucleotide ribosomal RNA is filed under the name uncultured organism. Its description in RNAcentral is "bacterial SSU rRNA". It matches the Rfam family "Bacterial small subunit ribosomal RNA", at positions 526 to 896 of the family's 1533-position model. The record is from RNAcentral.